CCUGUUAUGUGUGUGUGUGUGUGUGUGUGUGUGUGUGUGUGUGUGCACACAUAAUGAUCAGGCUAAUCAUCGUGAGUGUCUGCAAGCCCUGCAGAUGCUUUGCUGAGCUCUACAUUUAGCUUAUUAGUUUUAGUGAGGUGUCCAGUGUUAGGCCUCACUGCUCCUACCAUCUGAUAAGUGGUGUGUUCCUGCCUCUGUGUGUCCUUACCAUGACUAAAUGCUUUAGCUUCCCUCUGGGGACAAAGGGACAGAAGAGGAACCAGAGAUCUCUGUUUUUAUUAGCUAAACUGCCGAGGGAGGGAGUGAGAGCGACAGGAGUUUGCUAGACAGUGUGUGAUGCUGAGAAAUAGCCUCUAAAUCGCACAAGUGAAAGCUAAAGGAUUAUUUGUGCAGGAUGGUGGCUUCUUUUCUCUGGCGCUCCCCUCUUCUGGUGACCUUUACUGUUUAAUACUCCAUGUUUGGUAAAGGUCAAGCUUGUUGUGGCUCCUCACUGUGGGUUCUGAUGUACAAUUGAAAAUGCGUGGAGAAGCACGGGGAUGUAUAAAUAUUUCCCUGAUUCUGUCACAAACACAGAAAGGCCAAAUAAUCAUGAUGAGAUUUAUGGUUUUCUACAAAUGUAUCUCUGAUUCGCUUCUCUCAAAGGAAUUCUGUUUGUCUAUGUUCUGAAAGCAAUAAAAAGACAAAACAAUUUAUUAUG
Molecule: long non-coding RNA, 697 nt
Organism: Pangasianodon hypophthalmus (striped catfish)
Lineage: Eukaryota; Metazoa; Chordata; Actinopteri; Siluriformes; Pangasiidae
Exons: 2
Source: RefSeq, a predicted model, not a curated record